GUGGCCUUCGGGCGGCGGCUGCAGCGUCUGGCCUCCGUACGCUGCAGCCGGCCCGGUUGGACCUAGAUUAGAAGCUGGCAGUUGCAGGUGUGAGCAUGCAAACAGCUGUCUGAUGCUCAUGUAUGAUACUGCGCACAAAA
This 140-nucleotide non-coding RNA is filed under the name Kryptolebias marmoratus (mangrove rivulus). Lineage: Eukaryota; Metazoa; Chordata; Actinopteri; Cyprinodontiformes; Rivulidae. The record is from RNAcentral.